AACGAACGCUGGCGGCAGGCUUAACACAUGCAAGUCGAACGCUCGGAGCAAUCCGGGAGUGGCAGACGGGUGAGUAACACGUGGGAACGUACCCUUUGGUUCGGAAUAACCCUGGGAAACUAGGGCUAAUACCGGAUACGGCCGCAAGGCGAAAGGUUUACUGCCGAAGGAUCGGCCCGCGUCCGAUUAGCUUGUUGGUGUGGUAAUGGCGCACCAAGGCGACGAUCGGUAGCUGGUCUGAGAGGAUGGCCAGCCACAUUGGGACUGAGACACGGCC
This 277-nucleotide ribosomal RNA is filed under the name uncultured bacterium. RNAcentral describes it as "partial 16S ribosomal RNA". It matches the Rfam family "Bacterial small subunit ribosomal RNA", at positions 29 to 331 of the family's 1533-position model. The record is from RNAcentral.